UGUGUGUGUGUGUGUGUGUGUGUGUGCAGAUUUCUAUGAUGUCAGCUCUCCAAACAUAGCCAAUUUGGCACUACUAACAUGAAGUCAGCUGCUUGCAAAAGUCAUGACAAUAUGUAACAAUCAGCUCUCACUGGCCAGCACCAGCUGGCUCUAGCACAUCACUGGAAUGGUUCACUAAUUUCAAUAAGUCAAACCUGUCAGAUCUAUCUCAAAUUAAGUUAUGUCAUGAUGCCCUAAGCCUCAGCUGACAUUUUCAGUGGUGAUUUCAAAGUUCUGAUCCACUACCAAGGGCUUAUCUGAGGGACAGCUGUCCCUGAGAAAAGGAAAUCAGAUAUCUUCUUUAAAAAUUCUCUCCCUCAUAUCCAAUUUAAAAUACUUAAUUGUAUUCUUCAACUUUUUUCCAGAAAUAAUCACUUCCAUCAAGGAUAACUCUAGGAUUGCUCUCAGUCAAAACCAACCAACCAAGAAGGGGAAGUUAUGUCAUGAACAGUCCCAUAGAAAGACCCAUGCGGCAAAGAACUAAAACCUCCUGCCAAUAGCCACAUGAAUUUAACAAGAGAUCCUCCAGCCCCAGCUGAAUCUCCAGAGAUGGCAGCAUCAGCUGGGCAGCAUGACCUCAACUUUAUGAGAAACUGAGCCAGAAUCGCCCAGCAAAGCCACUCCAGGAUCCCUGACCCUCAGCAAAUGGAAUCUCGCUCUGUUGCCCAGGCUGGAGUGC
This 718-nucleotide long non-coding RNA is filed under the name Homo sapiens (human). RNAcentral's name for it is "HSALNT0358413". Lineage: Eukaryota; Metazoa; Chordata; Mammalia; Primates; Hominidae. The record is from RNAcentral.